UACAGCAUCAGACUCAUUGUCUUAGGAU
RNAcentral lists this non-coding RNA (28 nucleotides) under Mus musculus (house mouse). RNAcentral also lists the same sequence under 1 other name. The record is from RNAcentral. Lineage: Eukaryota; Metazoa; Chordata; Mammalia; Rodentia; Muridae.